Long non-coding RNA from Coregonus clupeaformis (lake whitefish), 448 nucleotides. RefSeq lists it as uncharacterized. The transcript has 3 exons. NCBI's taxonomy places the organism in Eukaryota, Metazoa, Chordata, Actinopteri, Salmoniformes, Salmonidae. The record is from RefSeq and is a predicted model, not a curated record.
CUGGACUAGAGGGUAGAGGUACUGGACUAGAGGGUAGAGGUACUGGACUAGAGGGUAGAGGUACUGGACUAGAGGUACUGGACUAGAGGGUAGAGGUACUGGACUAGAGGGUAGAGGUACUGGACUAGAGGGUAGAGGUACUGGACUAGAGGGUAGAGGUACUGGACUAGAGGGUAGAGGUACUGGACUAGAGGGUAGAGGUACUGGACUAGAGGGUAGAGGUACUGGACUAGAGGGUAGAGGUACUGGACUAGAGGUACUGGACUAGAGGGUAGAGGUACUGGACUAGAGGGUAGAGGUACUGGACUAGAGGGUAGAGGUACUGGACUAGAGGGUAGAGGUACUGGACUAGAGGGUAGAGGUACUGGACUAGAGGGUAGAGGUACUGGACUAGAGGGUAGAGGUACUGGACUAGAGGGUAGAGGUACUGGACUAGAGGGUAGAGGUA